RNAcentral lists this long non-coding RNA (210 nucleotides) under Mytilus galloprovincialis (Mediterranean mussel). The record is from RNAcentral. Lineage: Eukaryota; Metazoa; Mollusca; Bivalvia; Mytilida; Mytilidae.
CUAUUUUAAUAGCGUACAGCUUGAAUUAAAAUGUACUAAAUUUUCAUCGAUAAAUCAAAUAAUUCAACUUCAUUUGAAAAUGACGAACAAAUACUACUUCACGGAUCUGCACUAUGCGGAAAGAAAAAUCAAUACACACACAAGACAACAGUUUCUACGUUAUGAUUUUAUCGGUAUUCUCCAGACAUGUGUCAGAUCCAUAUAUACCCC